AGAACGAACGCUGGCGGCAUGCCUAAUACAUGCAAGUCGAACGAACUCUUCGGAGUUAGUGGCGCACGGGUGCGUAACGCGUGGGAAUCUGCCCCUUGGUUCGGAAUAACAGUUGGAAACGACUGCUAAUACCGGAUGAUGACGAAAGUCCAAAGAUUUAUCGCCAAGGGAUGAGCCCGCGUAGGAUUAGCUAGUUGGUGAGGUAAAGGCUCACCAAGGCAACGAUCCUAGCUGGUCUGAGAGGAUGAUCAGCCACACUGGGACUGAGACCACGGCCCAGACCUCCGUACGGGAGCAGCAGUAGGGAAUAUGGACAGUGGGACGAAGCCUGACUCAGCAAGUCGCCGCGUGAGUGAGUAGAAGGUCCGUUAAGGGUUA
This 378-nucleotide ribosomal RNA is filed under the name uncultured soil bacterium. RNAcentral describes it as "bacterial SSU rRNA". It matches the Rfam family "Bacterial small subunit ribosomal RNA", at positions 26 to 425 of the family's 1533-position model. The record is from RNAcentral.